RNAcentral lists this ribosomal RNA (786 nucleotides) under Salmonella enterica subsp. enterica serovar Infantis. Its description in RNAcentral is "partial 23S ribosomal RNA". It matches the Rfam family "Bacterial large subunit ribosomal RNA", at positions 2017 to 2802 of the family's 2925-position model. Lineage: Bacteria; Pseudomonadati; Pseudomonadota; Gammaproteobacteria; Enterobacterales; Enterobacteriaceae. RNAcentral also lists the same sequence under 1 other name. The record is from RNAcentral.
UGUCUCCACCCGAGACUCAGUGAAAUUGAACUCGCUGUGAAGAUGCAGUGUACCCGCGGCAAGACGGAAAGACCCCGUGAACCUUUACUAUAGCUUGACACUGAACAUUGAGCCUUGAUGUGUAGGAUAGGUGGGAGGCUUUGAAGCGUGGACGCCAGUCUGCGUGGAGCCGACCUUGAAAUACCACCCUUUAAUGUUUGAUGUUCUAACGUGGACCCGUAAUCCGGGUUGCGGACAGUGUCUGGUGGGUAGUUUGACUGGGGCGGUCUCCUCCUAAAGAGUAACGGAGGAGCACGAAGGUUGGCUAAUCCUGGUCGGACAUCAGGAGGUUAGUGCAAUGGCAUAAGCCAGCUUGACUGCGAGCGUGACGGCGCGAGCAGGUGCGAAAGCAGGUCAUAGUGAUCCGGUGGUUCUGAAUGGAAGGGCCAUCGCUCAACGGAUAAAAGGUACUCCGGGGAUAACAGGCUGAUACCGCCCAAGAGUUCAUAUCGACGGCGGUGUUUGGCACCUCGAUGUCGGCUCAUCACAUCCUGGGGCUGAAGUAGGUCCCAAGGGUAUGGCUGUUCGCCAUUUAAAGUGGUACGCGAGCUGGGUUUAGAACGUCGUGAGACAGUUCGGUCCCUAUCUGCCGUGGGCGCUGGAGAACUGAGGGGGGCUGCUCCUAGUACGAGAGGACCGGAGUGGACGCAUCACUGGUGUUCGGGUUGUCAUGCCAAUGGCACUGCCCGGUAGCUAAAUGCGGAAGAGAUAAGUGCUGAAAGCAUCUAAGCACGAAACUUGCCCCGA